This 85-nucleotide small nuclear RNA is filed under the name Suricata suricatta (meerkat). RNAcentral's name for it is "U2 spliceosomal RNA (ENSSSUG00005011199.1)". It matches the Rfam family "U2 spliceosomal RNA". Rfam says of the family: U2 is a small nuclear RNA (snRNA) component of the spliceosome (involved in pre-mRNA splicing). Complementary binding between U2 snRNA (in an area lying towards the 5' end but 3' to hairpin I) and the branchpoint sequence (BPS) of the intron results the bulging out of an unpaired adenosine, on the BPS, which initiates a nucleophilic attack at the intronic 5' splice site, thus starting the first of two transesterification reactions that mediate splicing. The record is from Rfam by way of RNAcentral. Lineage: Eukaryota; Metazoa; Chordata; Mammalia; Carnivora; Herpestidae.
AUCGCUUCUCGGCAUUUUUGGCUAAGAUCAAGUGUAGUAUCUGUUCUUAUCAGAUCUCACUACUUUCUACCUAAAUGCACCCCUU